RNAcentral lists this ribosomal RNA (253 nucleotides) under uncultured bacterium. RNAcentral's name for it is "partial 16S ribosomal RNA". It matches the Rfam family "Bacterial small subunit ribosomal RNA", at positions 524 to 776 of the family's 1533-position model. The record is from RNAcentral.
UACGUAGGUGGCAGGCGUUGUCCGGAUUUACUGGGUGUAAAGGGCGUGUAGCCGGGAAGGCAAGUCAGAUGUGAAAUCCGGAGGCUCAACCUCCGAAUUGCAUUUGAAACUGUUUUUCUUGAGUACUGGAGAGGCAGGCGGAAUUCCUUGUGUAGCGGUGAAAUGCGUAGAUAUAAGGAGGAACACCAGUGGCGAAGGCGGUCUGCUGGACAGCAACUGACGGUGAGGCGCGAAAGCGUGGGGAGCAAACAGG